RNAcentral lists this long non-coding RNA (629 nucleotides) under Numida meleagris (helmeted guineafowl). RNAcentral's name for it is "lncRNA (ENSNMEG00000008585.1)". The record is from RNAcentral. Lineage: Eukaryota; Metazoa; Chordata; Aves; Galliformes; Numididae.
AAAGGAUGCUAUUUAGCAUUUAUGACUGAGUCCUGUGUGCUUUGCACUUCUUCUCAGUGGAUGAGUUGGCUGCUACAGCUGUUGCCUGGGGCCCCGUGCCAUCCCAGCAAGUGCCAAUCUGGUGCUUUGCUGGCCAGUAGAGGCUAGUGCUGCUCAGAGAGUGAAACUGCGGUCCCUCUCCUCCUUCCAUCUCCUUGGACCACAUUCAGCAGAAAAAGAAAACAUUUGCAGACAGUUCUUAUACCCAGAAGUGCUGCGGUGGCCUGUGUCAGUGUGGGGCACCCAGGCCCUCCCAGCCAGGCUGGGCCUGCUCUGCUCUGCAGGUUGGAGGGGAGGUGGGCCACUCAGAUGGCAGUGUGCUGUGGGUGCGACCAAAGUGCUGGCUGGGAACACUGCCCCAGCUCCAGCAGUGCUUAGUGUGGAAAUAUUUCAGUUUUCAGGCAUUAGGGGGUGAGGAGCCCUCAGCAGUCCAACUCUGGCUUGGGCCCCAGUACGUAGCACAGGGUAUGAGCUACCUACUCACCAGCUGGCAUCCAAAAGGACACCUGCACCUGCAGUUUUCUGCUGUAAUUCAAGAAAAUGUAUACAGCAGUCACUCUACAGGCAAGUCUGUAGGCAAAACGGACUAG